RNAcentral lists this ribosomal RNA (457 nucleotides) under uncultured bacterium. RNAcentral's name for it is "bacterial SSU rRNA". It matches the Rfam family "Bacterial small subunit ribosomal RNA", at positions 355 to 825 of the family's 1533-position model. The record is from RNAcentral.
UGGGGAAUAUUGCGCAAUGGGCGAAAGCCUGACGCAGCCACGCCGCGUGAGUGAUGAAGGCCUUCGGGUUGUAAAGCUCUGUCGGGAGGGAAGAAGGGAGCAAUCUCUGACGGUACCUCGCAAGAAAGCACCGGCUAACUCUGUGCCAGCAGCCGCGGUAAUACAGAGGGUGCAAGCGUUGCUCGGAUUUACUGGGCGUAAAGCGUACGCAGACGGUUUGGUAGGUCGGGUGUGAAAGCCCAGGGCUCAACCCUGGAAAUGCACUCGAAACCACCUCACUUGAGUAUAGGAGAGGGAAGCGGAAUUCCUGGUGUAGAGGUGAAAUUCGUAGAUAUCAGGAGGAACACCGGUGGCGAAGGCGGCUUCCUGGCCUAUUACUGACGUUCAGGUACGAAAGCGUGGGUAGCAAACAGGAUUAGAUACCCUUGUAGUCCCUGAGCGGGCUGGCAAGGCGCAU